This is a long non-coding RNA of Saccostrea cuccullata (small rock oyster), 972 nucleotides long. RefSeq lists it as uncharacterized. NCBI's taxonomy places the organism in Eukaryota, Metazoa, Mollusca, Bivalvia, Ostreida, Ostreidae. The record is from RefSeq and is a predicted model, not a curated record. The transcript is spliced from 6 exons.
CCUGAAUUGUCAAAGAGAGACUUCGUGUACUUUUUUUGGUUAUAAUCCGAGUUUGAAUAAGUGUCGUGUUCACAAGAGAACCUUUACAUCCGGAACAUUGGAGGAGACAGGAUGGGAGUACUUUUUUCUUAACCGCCUCCCUGUAGAUUGUAAAGACCUGCAUGACAACGGUAACACUGAUACAGGGGUGUACAAAAUUUAUCCCUUUGAGGACAAUUCCCUCCCGAUCCUAGUGUACUGUGAUAUGAACAUAAUGGAAGGAGGAUGGACGGCAAUUCAGAAACGACAAGAUGGAUCCCUGAGCUUUGACCGAAAUUGGACGGAUUAUAAGACCGGCUUUGGUUCACCGGAAAAGAACCUCUGAAUUGGAAAUGACGUAAUUCAUCGGUUAACAAAGGGAAAUAACUCCUCUCUCUAUGUCUCCAUCACACUAGUGAAUGGCACUACACUGUACAAAACAUACGAUCAAUUCGCUGUUUCCGAUGAAGCACAGAAGUAUCAACUAUUCCUGGCGGGACCCGGCACAGGAACCUUAGGUGACAGUAUGUUGGACUACUCAUGGAAUUCUCGCUCUAUGCUGUCUGGGAUGUACUUUACCACCUUUGACAGGGACAACGACAGACGGGACCGACGUAACUGUGCCACUUACGGUAACUUCAGAGGGGGGUGGUGGUUUAACGAAUGUGCACGUGCCUUCCUUAACGGUCAAUGGUCCCUAGGAAAGUGGGCGCCUUGGAAUUUCCAAAUAACCAAUGGUACAUAUGUGACGAGAACAAUGAUGCUGAUUAAACGCCACUAGACAAUUAUUCAAAGGAUUAGAUCACGGAUUGGCAGCAACCUAUCAAUAUGACAAAAGACACUUUGUAGUCUUUGUUAAUGUCGAUCAAGGAAUUCCAUUCAAUCUUUUAUUGACACAAUACUUUUAUAUCAAGUGAGGAAACAUAAAUAAUAAUGUAUUUGUAGGACUCCUGU